ACUCCACUCCAGGAUGCAGUGCAUCACCUCAUUGGGUGAUGACUAUUCCGUUCUGCUUGGAGUGAACUUCAAGAUGCAGUGAAUAAAAAACCCAAAGAGGGUAAAGUGUUAAGUGUUAAUGUUGCGAAUAAAGUGGUUGCGGUGAU
Long non-coding RNA from Drosophila ficusphila, 146 nucleotides. RefSeq lists it as uncharacterized. The record is from RefSeq and is a predicted model, not a curated record. Lineage: Eukaryota; Metazoa; Arthropoda; Insecta; Diptera; Drosophilidae. The transcript has 3 exons.